AUGCAGCUGACGAGUCCCAAAUUGGACAACGAAACGUGCGUCCUGGAU
Non-coding RNA from Schistosoma rodhaini, 48 nucleotides. The record is from Rfam. Lineage: Eukaryota; Metazoa; Platyhelminthes; Trematoda; Strigeidida; Schistosomatidae.